RNAcentral lists this ribosomal RNA (97 nucleotides) under Triportheus guentheri. The record is from RNAcentral. Lineage: Eukaryota; Metazoa; Chordata; Actinopteri; Characiformes; Triportheidae.
UACGCCCGAUCUCGUCCGAUCUCGGAAGCUAAGCAGGGUCGGGCCUGGUUAGUACUUGGGUGGGAGACCACCUGGGAAUACCUGGUGCUGUAAGCCU